UGCGGCUCCAUCAAAUUCAGUCCUCGUCCAGCCCAUGCUGGGGACUGGCCAGGCCAGCUACCACGGCAAUAACUGUGGCUCGUGACCCCCACUGUCUCUCCUCCCUCCGCUCUGGGGCCAAAUGAACGCAACAGACAGCG
This 140-nucleotide small nucleolar RNA is filed under the name Eurypyga helias (sunbittern). RNAcentral's name for it is "Small nucleolar RNA SNORA5". It matches the Rfam family "Small nucleolar RNA SNORA5". Rfam says of the family: ACA5 is a member of the H/ACA class of snoRNA that guide the sites of modification of uridines to pseudouridines. The record is from Rfam by way of RNAcentral. Lineage: Eukaryota; Metazoa; Chordata; Aves; Eurypygiformes; Eurypygidae.